This is a long non-coding RNA of Homo sapiens (human), 1744 nucleotides long. RefSeq lists it as uncharacterized. The record is from RefSeq and is a predicted model, not a curated record. The transcript has 2 exons. Lineage: Eukaryota; Metazoa; Chordata; Mammalia; Primates; Hominidae.
CCUGCCUCGGCCUCCCAAAGUGCUAGGAUUACAGGCAUGAGACACAACACCCAACCUAUGGUAUCUUAAUUGUGAUGAUGUUAUAUGGGUGGACACAUGUCAAAACAUCAAACUGUAUACUUUAUAUGCAGUGUAUCAUAUUUCAUUAUACCUCAAAGUAAAGCUGUUUAAAAAUCAUAGUACCAAUCACUGGAGAAGUUGUAGAACAGAUAACUGAUACACUACUAGUAGCAAUAUAAUUUGGUAGCAAUUUUAGAAAACAAUUUGGCAGUACCUAAUCUCAUUUCUAGGUAUAUUCUCCAUAAAAAUAUACAUAUGUAUGUACCAAAUUUUUUUUUUAUUUUUUCACAGAUAGUGUCUCACUUUGUCACUCAGGCUGGGGAGUACAGUGGCACAAUCAUAGCUCAUUGCAGUCUCAAACUCAUGAACUCAAAGUGAUCCUCCUGCCUCAGCCACUCAAGUAACUGGGACUAUAGGCUCAUGCCACUGCACCUGGCUAUUUUUUUUUUUAAUUUUUUGUAGAGACAGGAUCUCACUUGUUGGCCAGGCUGAUUUUGAACUCCUGGCUUCAACCAAUCCUCCUCCCUUGGCCUCCCAAAGUACUGGGAUUACAGGCAUGAGCCACCAUGUCCAACUGUAUCCACCAAAAUAUUUCUGAAAUGGCCCCAAAGCAUAAGCUAUCAAGAGCAGAAUGGAAACAUGGCACAUUCUUACUAUAGAAUACUAUGUGCCAAUAAAAAAGAAUUAAACAUUACUAUGCCCAAAAACAUGAAUGAAUCUCAGACACAUGUUAACAAAAAGAAGCCAGAUACAACAGAAUAUGUUCUAUAUCAUUCUAUUUAUAAACAGUUAAAACUAAUCUCUGUCAGUAUCUCAAAAUCACGGUUAACUUUGGAAGGUGAUAAUGACUAGGAAAGUACACAUGGUAAUCUGGACAGCAAGUAUAAUGCUCUGGAUGGUGGCUAUAGAGUUGGGUUCACUUUGUAAAGUUACAUUGACCUUUACACUUAAGAAUUUUCUAUUCCACCAUAUGUGUAUUAUACUUAAAUUUUUUAAGUUUAAAGAAUAAUUUCUGUUCAACAACAAAAAACUAUAUGCAAAAUUAAAGGACAAAUCCUAACAACACAGCCAACAAAGAAUUAUCACAUUAUAUAAAGAAUGCUUACAAAUCAGUAAUAAUUUUAAAAUCCAACCCAAUGGAGAAAAAAAUGACAAAGAAUAUAAACUGGCAAUUUACCCCAAAAUCUUCCAAUGACUUAAGCCUAGUCCCUAGAUCAUUCCUCUAUUUACACUCUCUCCUUGGUGAUCUCAUUUAGGUUUAUGGCUGCUAAACACCAUCUAUUCAUUGACUGACAUCCAGACCUCUCCCCUAUUUCAGAUUUGUAUAUCCAACUGCCUACCUGAAAUCUCCAAGUGGAUGUCUCACAGGCAGCUCAAACUUAACAAAUCCAAAUUUGACUAUAACUUUGUCUCAGACUUGCUCCUCCUCCAGCUGUCCACAGAUCUGAAGCAAAAAUAAAUACAAUAAAGUAAAAACAAAAGAUUACACGGGAGAGAGAGCAAGAAGAAAACGCAAAGGAGGCACAAGAAGGAGACAGAGAGAGAGGGUAUGAUGAUCUUUAUUAUGGAUGCGCAGUAGUGAAAAACAGGAAAUAAACGGUUCUCUAAAAACAUAUCAAUGGCAAAAUAUAAUACUCUCAUAAAAGGACAAGAACAAUAAUUAAAAAUGAAUAUCUUAAUACCA